RNAcentral lists this ribosomal RNA (563 nucleotides) under uncultured bacterium. Its description in RNAcentral is "bacterial SSU rRNA". It matches the Rfam family "Bacterial small subunit ribosomal RNA", at positions 337 to 917 of the family's 1533-position model. The record is from RNAcentral.
UCCUACGGGAGGCAGCAGUGGGGAAUCUUGCACAAUGGAGGAAACUCUGAUGCAGCGAUGCCGCGUGAGUGAAGAAGGCCCUUGGGUUGUAAAGCUCUUUCGUCGGGGAAGAAAAUGACUGUACCCGAAUAAGAAGGUCCGGCUAACUUCGCGCCAGCAGCCGCGGUAAUACGAAGGGACCUAGCGUAGUUCGGAAUUACUGGGCUUAAAGAGUUCGUAGGUGGUUGAAAAAGUUAGUGGUGAAAUCCCAGAGCUUAACUCUGGAACUGCCAUUAAAACUUUUCAGCUAGAGUAUGAUAGAGGAAAGCAGAAUUUCUAGUGUAGAGGUGAAAUUCGUAGAUAUUAGAAAGAAUACCAGUGGCGAAGGCGGCCUCCUGGAUCUGUACUGACACUGAGGUGCGAAAGCGUGGGUAGCGAACAGGAUUAGAUACCCUGGUAGUCCACGCCGUAAACGAUGACGACUAGCUGUUGGGAGACAAUGUCUUUCAGUGGCGUAGCUAACGUUUUAAGUUGUCCGCCUGGGGAGUACGGCCGCAAGGCUAAAACUCAAAUGAAUUGACGGA